GGAUGUGAGGGCGAUCUGGCUGCGACAUCUGUCACCCCAUUGGUCGCCAGGGUUGAUUCGGCUGAUCUGGCUGGCUAGGCGGGUGUCCCCUUCCUCCCUCACCGCUCCAUGUGCGUCCCUCCCGAAGCUGCGCGCUCGGUCGAAGAGGACGACCACCCCCGAUAGAGGAGGACCAGUCUUCGGUCAAGGGUAUAAGAGUAGCUGCGCUCCCCUGCUAGAACCUCCAAACAAGCUCUCAAGGAAUAGGUAAAAUUCAAAAUGCACAAAAGAAUAAAGAAAAAACUAAGACUCUAGUCAUGUCCGAAGCACCGAGGCCUCUCUCCUGGAGACAGCCACUGUU
This is a non-coding RNA of Gorilla gorilla gorilla (western lowland gorilla), 340 nucleotides long. The record is from Rfam. NCBI's taxonomy places the organism in Eukaryota, Metazoa, Chordata, Mammalia, Primates, Hominidae.